RNAcentral lists this transfer RNA (77 nucleotides) under Thalassotalea agarivorans. RNAcentral's name for it is "tRNA_Pro_TGG". It matches the Rfam family "tRNA". From Rfam's summary of the family: Transfer RNA (tRNA) molecules are approximately 80 nucleotides in length. The record is from RNAcentral. Lineage: Bacteria; Pseudomonadati; Pseudomonadota; Gammaproteobacteria; Alteromonadales; Colwelliaceae. RNAcentral also lists the same sequence under 7 other names.
CGGUGAUUAGCGCAGCUUGGUAGCGCACUUGGUUUGGGUCCAAGGGGUCGCAGGUUCAAAUCCUGCAUCACCGACCA